AACAAGAGAUGAUGCAUUCUUGUGCCUUAGUUUCUUCACAUGCUUGGCUUCACGUUGAGCCUAUUCGCAAUCUUCACCCCCAACGACUCAUCACACUGCAUGAAGUAAAUGAGUUAAUUACAUAGUUAGUGCAAAUUAAUAGCUUUUUUUGCCGGAAUUAGUGCAAAUUAAUAGCGAUUAAGUCAUAUUAAUUUCAAAUUCUCUACAGUGGUUUAAAAUUAUAUAUUUCAUAUAAAAUAGGAUUAAAUAAUUUAUCUAUGGAUUCAUAAAACUGUUGUGCUAAACAUGGUGUUAAUCAUGUGGAUUAACUAAGAGAAAACAAUUAAUCAUUACUAAUAACUACUCCCUCCGUUUUUUUUAUAUGACGUUGAUUAGUUCAAACUUUAACUAGUAGUGUCAUAAAAACAAAAAUGGAGGUAAUACUAAAUUGCUGGUAUGAAUUACCUGGGAGAGGUAGUUGACCCAGAUGGCGCGGAGCUCAGGGGAGACCUUGGGGUGCGCGAGCUCGCCGGCGAAGCGGCGGAUGAACCUCUCCUGUCUAUCCGGCGCCCACGACCUGUACCUCUCCCCGGGCUGCUUGAAGUCGUUCUGCUUGUGUAUCGUCGCCUUCUGCCUCCUCCCCACCACGGGGCGCGGCGUGAUGGGCGUCGGCGGCGCGUGGCGGAGCGGCGCGUGGCGCGAUGGGUAGUAGUCCACCUCCUCGUCCCGGUGCAUGAAGUUCAUGGCGCCGUCGUAGUGGUUGUUGUGGUGGGCGCACUUGGGCGCGUUCACCGGCAGCAUCAGGUAGUUUGGCCCCAGCCUGUAGCGCUGCGUGUCGGCGUACGCGAACACCCUGCACUGCAGCAUCUUGUCGUCGGAGUAGUAGAUCCCCGGCACCACCAGCCCCGGCCCGAACGCCAGCUGCUCGUUCUCGUUGAAGAAGUUGUCGACGUUGCGGUUGAGAACGAGGCGCCCCACGGGCCGGAGCGGCACCUCGUCCUCCGGCCAUGUCUUGGUGUCAUCCAGCGGGUCGAAGUCGAACCUCUCCUCCUCCUCCGGGUCGAUCACCUAACAGUAUUAAAUAAUUAAUUAGAAGGAGUACUGCGGCUUCGAACUCAGAUCGUAUAGGCGUUAAUUUCUGGAUGAUCACCUACCUGGACGAACAGCUUCCACUCGGGGAAGUUGCCGGCGGCGAUGGAGUCGUAGAGGUCCUGGGUGGCGUGGCUGUGGUUCUUGCCGCCGACGAGCGUGGCCUCGUCGUCCAUCAAGCAGCUGACGCCGCAGGUGGGCUUCCAGUGGAACUUGACGUACCUGGCCUUGGCGUCGCGGGUGACGAAGGUGUAGGUGUUGACGCCGAAGCCGUCCAUGUGGCGGUAAUCGGUGGGGAUGCCGACGUCGUCGAAGAGGAAGAAGAAGGUGUGGAGGCUCUCGGGGUGGUGGGACAAGAAGUCGAAGACCCUCCAGUACUCCUGGACAUGGGAGCGCGGGUUGGGCUUGAAGGCGUGGAUGACGUCGGGGAACUUGAUGCCGUCGCGGAUGAAGAAGACGGGGAAGUUGUUGCCGAGGAGGUCCCAGUUGCCCUCGCGGGUGUAGAACUUGACGGCGAACCCGCGCGGGUCGCGGAUCGUCUCCGGGCUGCCGCGCUCGUGGAUGACGGUGGAGAAGCGGACGAUGACGGGGGUCUGGGCGCCCGGGGACCGGAGGAAGUCGGCGCAGGUGAUGUCGGUGACGUCGUGGGUGCACUCGAAGAAGCCCUUGGCGGAGGCGCCGCGGGCGUGGACCACGCGCUCCGGGAUGCGCUCCCGGGCGAAGUGCGCCACCUUCUCGAUCAGGUGGUAGUCCUCGAGGAGGAUCGGCCCCCUGGGCCCCACUGUCAGCGCCUCGUUGUCGUUCCACACCGGAGCUCCCGCGUUCGUCGUCGUCGUCUUCGUGUCGAACGAGCUCGACGGCCGGAACUGCAUGGGUAGCACGUAUUACUAUUAAUUAAUUAAUUAAUUAUAUACUUAAUGAUCGACUAGCUGAAUCAACCAGCCAUGCAUGUUUGAAGAGCUUGAGACUAAAAAAGAAAUAUUCGUAGAAUCUAGUCGAUAAUCUAGGUUAUUUCAGGAAGUUUCUGAUAAUCGACCAAAUAUUCUAUAAGAAGUUAAGCUCUCUCUUGAAUCUACACAACUAGCUAAAUGAAACCUCAAUUAUUAACUACAAGAUUAAGUAGAUUUAGUCUCACUAGUCACUGAGUGACUGACCUUGCAAGGAUCCAUGGUAGUGGGCUAGUGGCAGCAGCAGGUAUCUGGGAGUGAGAGGGGUUUGUUUCUGCUAGCUCUCCAGCUUGCUCGGUGAGACAGCCUGCCUAAAGGUUAUAUAGCGGGAGGUGGUGAGGAGCACUGACCUCCCCGGUGAGCUUACCGGAGACCGGUGCCACACACUGACUGGUGGGCCCGGGUGGCCAUACUGCAUGGUUGGGUCCCACAGGAACUGGACGAGGAUAAGGUGAGGUGGAUGUGGGCCCCCCUCGUGUGGAAAGGAAAUACAUGCAUUGCCUGGAUUGGAUGCAUGGAGUGUCAUCACUUCAUCAGUGCUCACUAGCUGCGUGCCAUCACUGCAUGUCCAUCGUCAGAUCAGAUCAGAUCAUCGGAUCAUAUCUCUUCGAUUGAUUUCAACGGCGCCGAAUUGCUGCCAUCGAUAGCUUAGCUCAUCCCCUUUCUCUUGAUCGGUCGGCCAAAGUUUGACAUGCUUGCAGUUGCAGCUAACGUCUCUGCAUUUUCUUUCUUGUUUCUCAGAUUAAUUUCAGGCUGCUUAAUUAUUCUGUAAGAACGAGGUGCUCUUUGUGCUAGCUAGCUAUGGCUCAGCUACACCCUCGUUUAUCAUAAACAUACACGUUUCUCAAACUGUAAGCUAUAAACAGUGUGUUUCGUACAAAAUCUUUUUAUACUAUAUAAAAGAAUUUAAUGGUGAUGGUGAAUCUACCAUCAUUUAGAGUUGGUGAGAUCUUCUAAUGCUACAUAAAUACAUCUUUGUGUGUGGUUUGGUUUUCUAUUGGAUGUUUGAUUGCAAUUAUGUUUGACAAAUACAAUUUCUAAAUCAAGAAAUUCACAUAAAUCUUUUAAAAUCCGUCCGUUGCAGAGCACGUUACUUUGCUAGUCUUUAAAAUUUUAAAUAAAUUUAGUUUUCAAGUUUAUAAUAGGUAAUACUGAGUUUAUCAUGUACUAUUCACCUGUUCCGGUUUUCAUGCCACUAACUAGCUCAGUCAAACUCCUUUAUCGAACACAGCCCAGCCAGAAUGCACCCUUGUCUUUUUACCUAGUGCUAUAAGAGGAACCAAUUCAAGAUGAUGAUGAUUGAUUUACCUUGUAGCAUUACUACGCAGUUCAAAUUACUAACCUUUCAGAUUAGGUACGGUCUGAAUAUGUGAUGGAAGAUCGAAGCAGCUGUAUCUCAUAAAAUAAAUUACAGAUUCCGUCUGGAAACUGCAAGACGAAUUUAUUAAGCCUAAUUAAUCUAUUAUUAGCAAAUAUUUAUUGUAGCACCAAAUUGUCAAAUCAUGGCGCAAUUAGGCUUAAAAGAUUUGUCUCGUAAUUUCAAGGCGAAAUGUUUAAUUGUUUUUUUUCUACAUUUAGUACUCUAUGCAUGUGUCCAAACAUCCUAUGUAACAGCGUGAAAAAUUUUGUUUGGGAACUAAACAGACCCUGAUUGUGAUGCAACCCAUAAGUAAUUGCAAAACUAGCUAGCUAUCUACAGCAUCAUCAGCAUAUAUCUUGGUGGUCUAAACUUCUCAGGAAACAAAAGAUGAGAAAUUGUUCUGUUCUUAGUCCACGCUGAUGAUAACGAUAGGUGUGCUGUGGUGGGCACAAGCUUUUUUCUUUCUUUUUUUUUUUGAGGGGAAAGUUGCUUAAGAUGAAGUGACAUAAACAAGAUUAAUUCGAGGAAAAUGUGCGCAUCUCAGAUGUGUACUCCAUUUAUACAAAACCCAGCAAAUUAAGAAGGUACAAUUAUCUGACAGACUAGCGAACAAACUGAAAAUUAUAGUCGUAGUACUACAAAUUUGCAGUUUGUGGCUGAGGGGAAUCUAUCCCAUCUGGUAUAUGCUGUCACUUUGUGCUAGUACUGUACUAUGUACUAGCCUGUAGCCUCUACUUUUGUAAUUGAAUGAGAAUAUUUGAAUGUUUUACACCACAUAAUGGAACAGCUCAAAUCUCAUAAGAUCUUGGAGAGAUAUUCUUGAUUACUCUGAUUAAUGGGUCAUGUGUUGAUGCAUAUAUAUAUAUAUAUAUAUAUAUAUAUAUAUAUAUAUAUAUAUAUAUAUAUAUAUAUAUGUUAAUGAAUCAAAACGCAUGCAUAUGUCUAGAUUGAAUGUGGGCAAUGCUAAAAAGUAUUAUAUUGUGAAACGGAGGAAGUAGUAGUCAAAUGGUGCUAAGAUCUGGGUUUUCAUGAAACAACACUAGACACCAAUAAUGCAAUCGGUGGGUAUGCUUUUGUCUCUGACGACUAAUUGCCUUGUGAAUGAAAAAGCUUUGGAUUUUAGCUCCUAAAAAUCUGCAAUCUUAAUCAAAAGGGAGAAAUGCACAAAAUGAGCUAUUGGAAAGAAAGGAACUACGAUAUCUUGCAGAAUAUAUUUCAAAUAAAAAGAUAGUUGCUUAUUCGUUCGAGAAAACAGGUUAUCAAUUUGGUACAGAUUUGGCUUGAAUUUUACAUUUUAAUGCUAGUUGGUGAACCGUCCAGUACUCUGAUGGCCAUAUUAAUAAUUUCCCCAUAAAAAAACAUAAACUAAAUUCAACCUCGGACACUCAACUUUAUAUUGCAAAUCUGAAAUAAUUUUACUGCAUUAGAAAAAUCAGAAGAUGGCUGCGAGUAAUAUUAGUGUCAGUUGGUGAACUGUUGAGUACUCCCAUUUCCAUAUAUAUUAAUCAUUUUCCCAUCGAAAAAUGAGAAACCAAAUGCAACCACUCAACUUUACAUUAAAAAACUAAAGUAAUUUUGCACUAUAUAGAGCAUUAAAAAAAUCAGAAAAUGAUUUCGAGUAAUGUGAGUAGUCAUCCUGCACGAGCUUGACUAAUGCUUUUGGAAAAAGGGAGUAAUUGAGGUGAGGUGUGAGAGUGAGAUUCCCCACCUGUGGGUACAUGACAAAACAAACCAAUCUUGCUGUUGAAGCGCAUGAUGUGAGAUAAGAUCAUCAAUCAGCAGCACCAAAAAAUAUCUCUCCUUCUAUUGCGUGCAUGGUUUGUUCCUUACAUGAUUCUAUCUUGAGCAGUGCUCAUUCUUCAGUGAUCAUUAGCUGUUUCUUGUAACUUGUAAGAACUUGUUUGAAGCGCAGGAAUAUUUUUUUCCUUGAAGAUAAAUAUAGCGAAAUUGGAAUGCUGAAUUAUCAAUUACCGGUGUGUAAAUGCCCUCUGAUGAAAUAAGAAGAGUAAGUAGAGCACAAAUUUUACAGUAACAAAUUAAGGGCUCCUUUGAAUCGUAGGAAUGAAAAAAUAAUAGGAAUAGGAAAAACACAGGAUUCUGACAAAAAUACAAUUGUAAAACAGAGGAUUGCAAAACACAGGAAUGACCGUUUGAUUGGACCACAGGAAAAACGCAGGAAUCAGAUGAGAGAGAUAGACUCAGAGGAAAUGUUCCAAGAGGUUAGACCUCUUGCUAACUUUUCUCUAAAAUGUGCAUAGGAUUACCCCAUUUCAUAGGAACUUUAAAGGAUUGGAUAUGAUUUAAUCCUUUGUUUCAAAGGCCUUCAUAGGAUUUUUUUUUUCAUAGGGUUAAAAUCCUCCAAAAUUCCUAUAUUUUUCCUAUAAAUCAAUGGGGCCCUAACAAUAGUAGCAUAUGCUAGUACAAGAAACAAGAGAAGAGAAUAAAAUAAUAACACUGUAAUUGAGGAUUUACAGAGAAAAUUAACGUAUAUAUAAUCACGGAAUGAAUGCUUUCCAAUAGGUUCACGUGGUGAUCCAACAAGUUGGAUGUUGGAUUGUUGAUUGAUGCCGAAAAUGUUUGGGGCUGAAUGCAACUGAAGGAAAGUGGGACCGUGCAUGCUCCAAAAGAAUUGCAUCGACCGUACAGUAGCGCUACUGCCUACCUAACUUAAUCAUGUUGCAAAGAGCCAGAUAUUUAUUCACCAAUUACACGUCUGAUCUCAAUCAUCAUUACUCCUAGCUACAGUUUGUUCGGUUUCAAAUCUUAAAUUUAAUCCAUUCAAAAAGUUUCAGUUUUACUGCAUAAGAAACAUCUCAGUAAAAGGACCAGUUGCUUCUGGUAAUAACAUAUCCCAAAUUUCUGUCAAAUUCCACGGUUGCAGUAUGAGCAGACUGUACUGAACUCUGAAGAUCUCAAGAAAUCUCAAACCGAUCAUACGCUUGAUUAGCAGAACGAUAUCUUCUUCAUGGACAAAAAUGAGUGAGCAGUCAGAAGUCUUUCUUUCAGACGAUAGCAGCCUCCUACUGAUACUGUUCAUGCAUCCUGCUUGUGCGUUUGGAUCUCCUUCCUGCAAUUUCAUCUUCAGUGACAGAGACGCCACGGCUGCGAAGGAUCGAUGGUGACAUAUUCUUAGCUAAGGUGAUGGACUGAUGGUCCAUUGGAGGACCGAACCACCAGCUAUCACCUUAUCUGCAAUUUGGAUCUCUUUGUUUGUAAUAUAUACCAUUAUUCAUACUCUCCUUUUCUUUGAAAUUCUAUUCAUUACAACUGGCGUGGUAGAGUCGCCUGACUGUAUUUCGUACUAUCAAUAGAGACACCGUAAAAGCGAAAGGGUAUGUAAUGGUUGCAGUGACCGAAAUACCACGAAAUUCUGAGUUCAAAUCUUUAUAUGUAUGUAAAAAUUGUCGCAUUAUACCGACAGCCUCAUCUUUUAGCUUAUGCUUAUGCUUAUAAGCCAAAAUUUAAAUUUUCAACAUUAAAUUUGGAGUUGAUUUUGGGAUUUUUUUCAAUCGUAGUUUAUUUUUCAGCAUUUGCUUUUAGAUCGUUAAGAACACGUAUAUAAAAAUUUUAUUUAUAAAUUAUUUUUCGUUUGCAAAUAUACCGUUUCGCUUAUACCGUCGAUAAGCGAAAUAAUGGAGUCCCGAUCGAGUUAGUUGCACAAGUGGUUUAGUGUAGUACUUAUAAUCUGCGGGGACCUUACAUAGAAGUUAAAACCUUUGCAGAGCAACUUAGCAACAAGACAAUCGUCAUGCAAUCGUGAUAAGGUUGUAGAUUAAUUUCCAUGUUUAUGUAUGCAGUGUAACCAUCUGGAAUAUUUUCCUGCAAGCAUCCGGACAACGCUGUCAAAAUUAUCUAGAUUACCCGACUUUCUCCAUGGACACACAAAUCAUGAGAUAUUGUACAUGUAGAAAAAAAACGAAGUUGAAAAAUAUGAUGUUUUAAGAUGGAAGCUUUAUUAAACUCAAAUAGUUACAUUACGGUGAUACAAUCAUAGUGAAAAUACUUUUUUUAGAUAAGGGUAUUUUUACUCGGCCUCUACAUUCAACCGGAUAUAUGUAACAUUUUUAAAUUAGGAACUUGGCCCCCUAAACAGUCCAAUCUUAAAUUCGCUCUUAUAAAAAUUUGAACCAAAGAAUUUAGGGUGCUACUCAUGUUACUGCACCAUUACAUGCCAUUUCGCUAGUGAAAAUACCUUUGGCCUAUGUCUAUAACUAAGAUGCAUAUUAAGAAAAAAAACCUCAAAUGCAUAUGUUAGUUAUCUUUAAAAAAAAGAAAUACGGAAAAUGUUAAGAACCGCCAAUCAAUAUACAAGAUCAUAGUCCAUGCUCCUAGGUACAACACUCGAAUGUUGUAACUAGUGAGCCGUCCGAUCCUGGAGGAGUGGUCUGGAUUAAUUAGGUGCGAGUUGAUUAAUUCCUCGUUUGAUAGGGAGAGUGACAACCACAUGCCGUCCACCACUAGCGAGCUAGCUCUGCCAGUGUCACACUGCCAGUGAAGCAAGUUGGCACUGUCACCAAGAGAGCGGCAUUGCAUUGCAUUUGCGUGUGGAAAUUACACUAAGCUGAUGCUAAUCCUGCAUCAUGAGCUGCUCAUCAACUAAAUGACCCUCACUUUUGGUAAUUAAUCCCUUCCUUCAGGAAAAAGUUGGAGAUUCAGACAUCCUCAAAUCAGAACACAGUAGACUAGCCAAAUUUGGUUGCCCAGCUCAUCCUGAUACUUUGCACUAACAGAAGGGUUCUUGAUGAUCAAGUACGCUUUGAUCAGGAAAUAAUUGGGGAUGGCUAGUGGGAAAUGACCAAAUAUCUCAAUCAACAAAGCCAAUCAAUCUCACACUGCAAAAACUAAAGCAAGCUUUUCUCUCUCCCGGCUGGGUGCGUAAUAACAUGAUCCAAAAAGACAUCAGGUAGUACUCUUGAUUGCAAUUUGCAAACUAACCACCCAAAAAUUAUAUUGAUAUGGUAGAAAUAUAAUAGAAAAGGUACUUAUCUAGUUUAUACUAUAUAUGCAUAUUAUGUACUGAGAGAUCUGGGUGUCAUGUCGAUCUGAUCAUCUCCAAUUCUUUAUUAAUUAGUCAUGUAUAAGUUGUUGAGUCAUCCAUUACUGCCUUUUUCUUUUUUUUUCUUUUUUUGAUAACUCACAGCCUUAAAUUGUUUCAUAUACUUCCAGUUCACUGUAUUGGAACAAUGUAACAUUAUGAGAAUUGAUGGGCAAUCAAGAAAUGAACAGGAUAAAGAAUCAUUCUCGUGCUUUGCAUAGUGAUAGCACUGUAGUGUAUACUUUCUGUUCGUUACAGUUCAUAUGGCCUUCUCUAGGGAGGCCCAUCUACAGUGGGAGCCCAGAAGCGCGGUGCCAAGAGCGGGGCCCACGACAGCACCAAUGUAUUCACCCAUCUAAUCUGCACCGUACAACUUCGAUCGAACGUCUCACGGAGAUCAAAGCGAGUCAGAGUUUUACUCUCCGAUCCCCCUUGGAUCCCCACCGCUAUAACGUACUACUCCCUCCGUCCUAAACAAACGAAUCUAAAAUAGAAUAUACCACAUCCUAUUACAGUGAAUCUGGAUAAAAGGUACGUCUAAAUUUGUACUACUAGAAUAUGUCACAUCCAGUACUAAGUUGGUUUUUAUGGGAUGGAGAGAGUAGCUCCAUCCUAUAAUAAGCGCAGAUGUGGGUUUUAGUGUCUAACUUUGACCAUCCGUCUUAUUUAAAAUAUUUUUAUGAUUAAUAGUAUUUUUAUUGUUGCUAGAAAAAAUGCUCGUGCGUUGCAACGGGUGAAUGCUAUUUUAAUUUUAUUAUUGUUAUACGGUUUAGUUAAGAUGAAAUUCACUUUCGGAAUUCGCUUGGAUAUUUUUUUAGAAAAUCAUGAACUGCAAUUAGGAGUCUGACUUUCAUCUCAAGUUAGCAUGCGAGUUUUUUUAAAAGAUAUUUCUUAUACGACUCCUUUUAUAUUUCUAAAAGCAAAAAAAUUUAAAAUCCGACUCAAAUACAGAUCUAUAUUUUGAAAAGCGAACGAACUUAAAAACCGACUCAAAUACGGAUGACAUACCAAAAUACCGGCAAAAACAUCUUUAAUUUUUAUAAUAGUAAAGAUUAGAUGAUAAAAUAUAAAUAGUACUUUAUGUAUUUAUGACUUAACUUUUAAAAUUUUUUAUAAAUUUUUCAAAUAAGACGAAUGGUCAAACGUUAGGUACGGAAACUUAUGGCUGCACUUAUAAUGGGACGGGGAGUAUUACUGUAACGAAUAUACGCUAACACGUGGAUCCACCCGCCGACGGCGCCACUCCGGCCACCGGAAAGCCGUCUCCGC
This 9679-nucleotide long non-coding RNA is filed under the name Oryza sativa (Asian cultivated rice). Its description in RNAcentral is "long non-coding RNA (OSAT_LNC000237)". The record is from RNAcentral. Lineage: Eukaryota; Viridiplantae; Streptophyta; Magnoliopsida; Poales; Poaceae.